Molecule: long non-coding RNA, 1441 nt
Filed under: Oncorhynchus mykiss (rainbow trout)
Lineage: Eukaryota; Metazoa; Chordata; Actinopteri; Salmoniformes; Salmonidae
Description: lncRNA (ENSOMYG00000042065.2)
Source: RNAcentral
CUGUAAUGCUGUUGAUGUCUCUGAACUGUCAUGCUCUUAGUGCCUGAUGUUACAUAAGACUAGUAACGUCAUUGUGGCUCUGUCACACUCUCACAACCACUGACUGUCCUUAGGCCUUGUGAUUCCAGACUGGAACCUGUGUGUUGUUUUGGGUAUCACACUACAGGACAGGACAUGAUGUACAGGAGCAUCUCUCAGUCCAGCACAUGGGCACCAGGAGCACAAAGUUCUCCUAGUAGUGAGGUUUGUCCUGGGCCUCGUCCAGACUACCAUGCCUGACCUCCUGGCCAACCUGAGUGUUCCAUGGGGCACACAGGCGAUUGUGAGCCCCAACCUGACAGCAGCUGCCCUGGUUGUGCCGGGGUCAGACAAGACUCUGGCCCCCUUCUGCACCUUCUGCUGCUGUGGCCUGCUGAACCGUACCCUGGCUGUGGUGUUUAUGGUCAGUCUGGCCUUCGCCAUAGUGGUGGGCAACGUGGUCACGCUCACCGUCUUCAUGCAGACAAGACAGGUCCGUACACCACAGGGAUACCUCAAAGUCUCUCUGGCCAUAGCAGACAUGAUGGUUGGAGUGCUGGUGGUUCCUUUCUCUGUCUACACUGAGAUCUCUCUGAUGGUGACCAGUUCCCCUCCUGUCUGGUACCAGGGGGGCACUGACCCCUCCAUGGGGGGCCUGGUGGGCCCCUGGCAGCCCUGCAUGCUGAUUGGUCCAGUCUUCGCUGGCUGUACAUUUGUCUCCAUCAGUACUAUUUUCCUGAUGACGGUAGAGCGCUGUGUGGCCAUCUUAUGGCCCCUUCAUAAGGACCACCUGGUGACACGGAGACGUACCCUGUUUCUCAUCCUCUUCUCCUGGGCAGGCAGUUUCCUCCUGGCCUUGGCCCCCCUCAUCCUCAGCAACAACUUCACACUGGAGUACAGUGAGUGCAGCCGGAUGUGUAACUACGUCCCCCUGUGGGAUGGAGUCACGCUGCCCUCUGAUGCCAACAUCCUCCUGCUGUUCCCUGUGUUUGACUUCACGCUGCUGGGAGGCACCCUGGUAUUCAACAUCCUGUCCUUCACCAGCAUCCGCCGCUACACACGCAAACGUAAACUCAUGUCAGAGGGGAAUGUAGGGGUCGAGGGAGGGGGAGGCGGCUGCCAACAUAGACCCUCCUUCUCUGACAUCAAGGCUGCCAAGACAAUCAGCAUUCUGACGUUUGCCUUCACGGCUUCCUUCACCCCCAUCGCUGUGUUUGUGCUGGGAAACGUGGUGGGCUUCACCUGGUGCAACUUCUCCUUUGUAGCCUUCUGGAUCCUGACUGGGAACAGCUGCUGUAAUGUGAUAAUAUACAGCGUGAGAGACCAGCGCUUCAAGAAAGGAGUGACUCUGCUUUUUCAGAGGGAGCACUCACCUUCCCAUGGGGAGAAAGGCGGAGCUACACCACCCCCACCUACCUUGUGA